This 253-nucleotide ribosomal RNA is filed under the name uncultured bacterium. RNAcentral describes it as "partial 16S ribosomal RNA". It matches the Rfam family "Bacterial small subunit ribosomal RNA", at positions 524 to 776 of the family's 1533-position model. The record is from RNAcentral.
UACGAAGGGGGCUAGCGUUGUUCGGAAUCACUGGGCGUAAAGCGCACGUAGGCGGACUUUUAAGUCAGGGGUGAAAGCCUGAGGCUCAACCUCAGAACUGCCCUUGAUACUGGGAGUCUUGAGUAUGGUAGAGGUUGGUGGAACAGCAAGUGUAGAGGUGAAAUUCGUAGAUAUUUGCUAGAACACCGGUGGCGAAAGCGCUCUGCUGGACCUAAACUGACACUGAGGGACGAAAGCUAGGGGAGCGAAUGGG